This is a non-coding RNA of Pelobates cultripes (western spadefoot toad), 210 nucleotides long. The record is from the annotation of a GenBank genome assembly. Lineage: Eukaryota; Metazoa; Chordata; Amphibia; Anura; Pelobatidae.
UCAAAUUAUAGAAAUGUUUUUAUUUUAAAAUAUACAUAAGUUUAGUGAUACUGAAGAAAUUACACUACAGUAUUACACUCCAACUCUAAGACUAGUUAGUUUAUAUACACAACUGAUUAUUCACUAUACAUACCCUUGGAGAAUUGGUAAUAUAUGUACCAUUUUUAAUGAAAACAUAAGUGAGCAAGCAAAACACAUUUACUUUAUUUA